RNAcentral lists this unclassified non-coding RNA (684 nucleotides) under Hevea brasiliensis (rubber tree). Lineage: Eukaryota; Viridiplantae; Streptophyta; Magnoliopsida; Malpighiales; Euphorbiaceae. The record is from RNAcentral.
GUUUUAUUUAGAGACGUUUGCACAUGGAAGAUUUAGUUGUUUAUUUUAUACAACACCUAAUUUGAUUAAGAAAUUCUAGUUCAGGUUAUUUGGUACCUAACACAGUUAAAAUUAUUACGUUUUGUUUGCUGAGAAAAUCUAAUUCAAUGAAAUGAAGUUAAUUUUUGAAUUGUAAUGUUUUUCCCAAUUAUCAACUCCUAACACAAUAGCCUACUCCGCUAUUGACAAUUGUGAUGUCUAUUUGGAGAAUUACACUCUUUGAUCUUAUCCCUUUUGUUCCAAACAACUUGAGAUUAUGAUUCACUGACUUGUUCCUUUCUUGCCUUUAAGUUUCAUAACAACUAGGUAUAUUGAGGUCUUGGAGCAUGUGUUUCAGCUAGUUUGUUAGCUAUUUAUUUUCACUUGUUGUUUGGGUAGUUCAGUCUUUUGCUGGUUGGAUCAAGUGCUUUGCUUUCCUUGGUAGUUUACCUCUUUAGCUACUUAGCUAGUAUUUGUCUGUUGUCUCUUGUUUAUGUGCCUAAGAUUUGGUUUUAUUAUGUGCCUAACGUUUGGUUUUGUUUUUCUUCAUUGUGUUGUCUCUUGUGCAUAUACCUACCAUCUAGUUUUGUUUCUUGUCAUUGGGCCUUGUUUUGUUUGUUCUUUUGUAUUGAUCCUAAAAAUAAUGAUAAAUUAAAUGAAAUCCAG